RNAcentral lists this ribosomal RNA (253 nucleotides) under uncultured bacterium. RNAcentral's name for it is "partial 16S ribosomal RNA". It matches the Rfam family "Bacterial small subunit ribosomal RNA", at positions 524 to 776 of the family's 1533-position model. The record is from RNAcentral.
UACGGAGGGCGCAAGCGUUGUUCGGAAUCAUUGGGCGUAAAGCGCGUGCAGGCGGCUUGGUAAGUCGGGUGUGAAAGCCCGGGGCUCAACCCCGGAACUGCACCCGAUACUGCCUCGCUAGAGUCUCGGAGAGGAUGGCGGAAUUUCCGGUGUAGAGGUGAAAUUCGUAGAGAUCGGAAGGAACACCAGCGGCGAAGGCGGCCAUCUGGACGGUGACUGACGAUCAGACGCGAAAGAGUGGGGAGCAAACAGG